GACUGGCUCCAGAGGAACUUUGGCAUCUUUUCUGUUUUUGCAGAACUGCAGGAGUUACAAGUCCUUAAUCCCGACUUCUCCAGCAAGGAAUCACUGUCGCUGCUUACCCCAACCCAAGUGGCACAAUUGACAUUGACCUCUGGGGCAUUGAAUGACACAGAUGACAUUAAACUUGUGUUUACGCGGCUGGAGGAAGGUGACGCUUUCAAAAAUGUUGACGAGUUUCUGACGCAACUGACCGCAAAGGAAGAGAUUCCUGACAUCCAUCCAGCCGUGAGA
Molecule: non-coding RNA, 279 nt
Organism: Oncorhynchus mykiss (rainbow trout)
Lineage: Eukaryota; Metazoa; Chordata; Actinopteri; Salmoniformes; Salmonidae
Source: RefSeq, a predicted model, not a curated record